This 85-nucleotide transfer RNA is filed under the name Escherichia coli. RNAcentral describes it as "tRNA-Tyr". It matches the Rfam family "tRNA". From Rfam's summary of the family: Transfer RNA (tRNA) molecules are approximately 80 nucleotides in length. Their secondary structure includes four short double-helical elements and three loops (D, anti-codon, and T loops). Further hydrogen bonds mediate the characteristic L-shaped molecular structure. tRNAs have two regions of fundamental functional importance: the anti-codon, which is responsible for specific mRNA codon recognition, and the 3' end, to which the tRNAs corresponding amino acid is attached (by aminoacyl-tRNA synthetases). tRNAs cope with the degeneracy of the genetic code in two manners: having more than one tRNA (with a specific anti-codon) for a particular amino acid; and 'wobble' base-pairing, i.e. permitting non-standard base-pairing at the 3rd anti-codon position. The record is from RNAcentral. Lineage: Bacteria; Pseudomonadati; Pseudomonadota; Gammaproteobacteria; Enterobacterales; Enterobacteriaceae.
GGUGGUUUUCCCGAGCGGCCAAAGGGAGCAGACUGUAAAUCUGCCGUCAUCGACUUCGAAGGUUCGAAUCCUUCCCCCACCACCA